CAGUAGUUGGAGAAGUGUCAGAUCAAGGAUUGAAAAUUCUGAAAGAGUUCAAAUAACGUCUUGGACUAGAACAUAAAUGAUAAUGAAAUUGUUUUAUAUAUAUAAAUGCUGCCAGUCAUACCUCAAUUGUACAACAGACUAUUAGAUUAGGUCGAAGGUAGUAGCAGCAGCAGCAGCUUUUCAUACUACAAGAGGAUAUAUGCUCCAGAAAUGAUGUGUAACACCCCAGUCCCACAUCGAAAGAUAAGAAAAAAAUUUAUCUGCAUAUAAGGAAAUAAGUUACUACCCAUAGUACCUUCAAGUCAUGACCUUUUGGGUGAGCCUGUGGUGGGCUAAGUUGACCCAAAAAGAUACUAUUGAGCUAGUAGUUUGAGGCCUUAUUUUGAUGGAUUUGGCCGGUAUUAUCCCACAAUGGCUAGAGAGGCAAAGAUCUUGGUGGACUAAGUUGACCCAAGAAGAUACUAUUGGGCUAGAAAUUUGAGGCCUUAUUUUGAUAGAUUUGAUUCGAUUCGGACUUGGGAUUUGACUCAAUAUUUGUUCCGGACUCGGAAUUUGACCCGGGUUGUUUCAUAAUGCUACAGCUUAAUCACCAGCAGAUGUAUGCUCCAGAAAUGAUGCCACAGCUUAAUCACCAAUUAAGUUUAUGUAUAGAUGACAAAAACUGAUCAGCCUCAACGCUAAUACCAUAUUUCAGCAGUAUUUGUUGCACCUUCAAAGCUGCAGUUUCAACAGGAUUCUGAAC
RNAcentral lists this long non-coding RNA (742 nucleotides) under Panax ginseng (ginseng). RNAcentral describes it as "long non-coding RNA (PGIN_LNC003000)". The record is from RNAcentral. Lineage: Eukaryota; Viridiplantae; Streptophyta; Magnoliopsida; Apiales; Araliaceae.